UUAGAGAGAGAUCUAAACCAAUACACAAAUGGGUGUACUUUCAUUUUUGUUCGUCUGCUGUAAGUCAUUGUGUUUAAUUAUAUUUAUUUAAUUUGUUAGAGAGAGCUCUACGCCUAUAGAGUAUAACAAAUGGAUGCAUUUUUGUUUUCCUUCAUCUGUUGUAAGUUACUGUUUUUCUUGUCUGAAUCCUCUUUUGCUUCCGACACCAUUACUUCAUCUCAGUCCCUCAGCGAUGGCAGGACCUUAGUUUCAAAAGAUGGAAGCUUUGAGCUUGGUUUCUUCAGUCCUGGUAGUUCCAAGAAUCGUUACGUAGGAAUUUGGUACAAAAAUAUGCCUGUUAAAACUGUUGUUUGGGUUGCAAACCGAAUCAACCCCAUUAAUGACUCUUCUGGCUUGUUAGUUGUAAACCAGACGGGCAAUCUUGUUUUAACAAGCCAGGACAAGAGUGUAGUUUGGUCAGCAAACUUGAGUAAAGAAGUCCGGACUCCAGUUGUAUUGCAGCUACUAGAUUCAGGAAAUCUUGUCCUCAGAGGUGAACGAGAUGGUGGUUCUGAAACUUAUUUAUGGCAAAGCUUUGAUUAUCCUUCUGAUACAUUGCUACCGGGAAUGAAGCUCGGAUGGGAUUUGAAGACUGGUCUUGAGCGGUGUAUAACAUCAUGGAAGAGCCCAGAUGACCCGUCUCCUGGAAACUUUAUUUGGGCAGUUGAACGACAAGAUAAUCCUGAGUUAAUCAUGUGGAAGGGAUCAAGAAAGUUUCAAAGGAGUGGCCCAUGGAAUGGCCUUCAAUUCAGUGCUACACCAUUGAGGCCAAACCCCAUUUUUAACUUCAGCUUUGUCUCUAAUGAGGAUGAGCUGUACUACACCUUCGACAUGAGAGAUAAAGCUGCUUUCUCAAGGAUUGUUAUGAACCAAACACUCUAUUUACGUCAACGAUUCAUAUGGGAUAAAGCAACUCAAAGUUGGGAAUUGUAUUCAAAUGUGCCAAGAGAUCUAUGUGACACUUAUGCCCUUUGUGGUGCCUAUGGCAUUUGCAUCAUUAGCGAUAUGCCUGUUUGCCAAUGUUUAAAAGGUUUUAAACCAAAGUCAAGGGGAUAUGUGGACUGGUCUCAAGGGUGUGUGCGUUAUAAGUCGUUAAACUACUCGAGACAAGAUGGAUUCAUCAAAUUCACUGCGAUGAAAUUGCCAGAUGCUACUCUUUCUUGGGUGAGCAAAAGUAUGAAUCUCAAUGAAUGCCGGGAGAAAUGCUUAGACAACUCUUCUUGUAUGGCAUACACAAAUUCAGAUAUCAGAGGAGAAGGCAGUGGCUGUGCCAUGUGGUUUGGUGAUCUGAUUGACAUCAGAUACUUCCAAGAUGGUGGGCAGGACUUGUAUAUUCGAAUGUCUGCUUCAGAGCUAGGUAUCCGUAUACUUAUUUAUGUCAUUCCAUUAUGAAAACUUAGGAGUACAAGUCCAGUUAGACUAGUUCCACAUUUUUAUUGUGCAAUUUAGUAUUGAGUUCUGAUUGAGAAGCUCCUUUCGCAUAAAGCAGUUUCUGGGUAUAGCUUCUAUCCAUAGAAUUCUGCUGCUAUUUGAAUCAUUUGAUUAUUGACUUGCUUUGCUAUAUCUGAAUAUGCUGAUCAAGGAGCGAAAGGUGUGCCUAGGACGAAGAUAGUGGUGACAGUCAUUUCUACUGCUGCUCUGUUAGCUGUGGUGAUUGCAGCUGGCUAUUUGGUUCACAAAAGAAGGAGAAAUAUAGUAGGUAUAAUAUUGCUCCAUUUUCCUUCAAAACUUUAUAGCCAUUUGCUUGCAUUUUUAUGAUAGCCGUUUCCUUUCAAUCAAUAUUUAUAUGAGUUCAAUUUCCCUGUAUCAAAUCUUCAAUAAAAUCUUUCACCAAGUAGAAUAAGUUUUUAUAUGCAACAAUAACUGUACGUUUGUUUCAAGAUGAAGAGUUAACAGUGCAUAUCAUUUAGAUCAAGGGCAAGGUAAUUAAACUUGUAAAUUUUUGGUUGGAAUAGCAGGUUUACUUACUUGCAUUUAGUGUUAUAUCAAUACACACCUCUUUUUCACCUAUGGUUCUUUAUUUACUUGCACUUUCAUAUUGAAUGGAAAAUAGCUUUAAUACAAAUUUACAGAGAAAGAACCUUCUCAUCAAGAACACGAAAAUUGUAGUUACUAGUUAGUAGUUUGUCCAGUAUACGUACUGCAUAUGUGCUUUCAGUUAAUAUUAUCCAAUAUUUCAGAGAAAACAGAAAACAACAGGGAAACUGAUCAGGUUCAAAACAUGGACCUGGAGCUACCACUGUUUGAGUUAGCUACAAUUGCUAAUGCCACCAGUAACUUUUCAAUCAACAACAAGCUUGGAGAAGGUGGCUUUGGACCUGUUUACAAGGUAAACUUGAAACUUGCCAGUCAAAAAUAAUUAUUUUACCGGGUAACUAAAUUCACAUAUAUGUCUGGGCAGGGCACGCUAGUGGAUGGGCAGGAAAUUGCUGUGAAGAGGCUUUCGAAGAUUUCUGAGCAAGGAUUGAAGGAGUUAAAGAAUGAAGUUAUACUAUUUUCCAAAUUACAGCAUAGAAAUCUUGUAAAGCUUCUUGGCUGCUGCAUUCAGGGAGAGGAGAAAUUGUUGAUUUAUGAAUUCAUGCCCAACAAAAGCCUGAACUCUUUCAUUUUUGGUCUGGGUCCCUAUAACCUUAAAAUAAUCAGCUAGCUUGUGCCUUGAUUAUAGACGUUUCUUAUGUAUUUUCAGAAAAUUUUGUACUAACCUUAAUGUGGUAAUUUGUAGAUCAAGAAAGAUGUAAGAUAUUGGAUUGGUCCAAGCGUUUCCACAUUAUUUGUGGGACUGCUAGGGGUGUUAUGUACCUUCAUCAAGAUUCUAGAUUGAGGAUUAUACAUCGAGAUCUCAAAGCAAGUAAUGUGCUACUCGAUCAAGAUAUGAACCCAAAAAUUUCUCUGUACCUUCAUCAAGAUUCUAGAUUGAGGAUUAUACAUCGAGAUCUCAAAGCAAGUAAUGUGCUACUCGAUCAAGAUAUGAAUCCAAAAAUUUCGGAUUUUGGUUUGGCAAGAGCUUUUGGUGGAGACGAAACAGAAGGAAACACAAAAAGAGUGAUUGGAACAUAGUAAGUACUUCUUGUCAUGUGAUCUUUACGAUUCACUUGCACUGAUUAAUGAAAAGUAACUUAUAUAUUUUAAUCUUUUGAAGUGGUUAUAUGGCACCGGAAUACGCUAGUGAUGGGAAAUUCUCAGUAAAAUCCGAUGUCUUCAGCUUUGGAAUUUUAUUGCUGGAGAUAAUAAGUGGAAAGAAAAAUAGAGGAUUUUAUCAUUCCGACAACAAGCUUAACCUUAUAGGACAUGUAAGUAAAAUGCAUACUGUACCGUACAUCCGCCUUGGCCGUACAGCAGUUAUGCGUGCAACAGCAUCCAAAGGACAGGCCAAGUAUGCCCUCAGUGAUUCUGAUGUUGGGCAGCGAGACUGUGUUGCCUCAGCCAAAGCAACCCGGUUACUUGGCGGACAGGAAAUCUACCAGACAAGAUUAUUCAUCAAGCACGCCUGAAUCAUGUUCAACUAAUACAAUUACGAUCUCUGAGUUGGAGGGUCGGUAGAGAAUCUAUUUGUGGUAUCAUGCCUUAUUCUACUUUGUCAAGUGCAAAAGCAGUAAUAUGUCAACAAAAUGGAAAGUUAAGAUAAAUGCUUGGAUAAAAAAUGAUGAGGAUCAUCCAGUGAAUGCAUGUUGUGGAUCUAAAAGUUCGGAGGACGAGCCAAUUUUGCAGCAGACUACUUGGCCAAAAAUGCGGGCUCUAUACCUCUCGGAUUUCAUGUUUAUCAAGAACCACCUGUGGGUCAUGAUCCUUGGCUUUGUUAUGAUAUGUAUGGGACAAUGAUUCCCCGCUCGGUUGUGUCUUAGCUUGGCUAAGCAUUUUUUUGGUUAAAAAAAAAAAAAUAGAAUGUUGACUAAUGCUCAUAUCGAAAUUGUAAAUUAGAGGUACUGUGAGCAGUGUUGGGUCCACAAAAUGAUUAACCGAGAAUUAAAUUAAAUAAAAGCAGGAUGUUAUAAUUUUUUUUUAUAUAAAAUAUUUAAUAAUACAUUUAUGAGAAUAUCUUUGGUGCUUUUGGAGCAUUCUUAUCUAUUCACAAUUCAUCACUUGUUUAUAUAUGUCAUCAUGAUUAGUAGAAGCAUACACAUGACAAAGAGUAAAUGAAAAAAAUAGAAGUACCCAAGAUUUUUCCUAUGUUUUGAAAAACAUGUGCAAUAUACUCAUUAUCAAUACUAAGAAGCACGUCCUUUUCUACAUAAACAACAAAAUUAAUAUUCAUCCAUUCAUCUCUCAUUCAAUUUCAGCAUUAAUUCUUCAUGAACUGAAUUGCUGAAAAAGUUCUCUCUACUGUGACUGUGGGAACCAAAAGAAUUAUAGCUAAGUGUCACCAACGAAUAUAUUAAUAUUGUAAUGGGUACACUUUAUCUGUUUUAGUCUCAAACUAUUCUUUUAGCAACUUAUUGAUUCCCUUCAUUCCAGCAAACCCGCCUAAUUGUUGUUUUCUAAUUUAACCCAAGCCCUAAUUUUCUUUUUAGAACAAGAAAGAUAAAAUUUGUGAUUGGAGGAGUGGCUAAUUAUGAUUGUUAAUAAAUUUGAAUCUAUUUUUCGAAAUAGAAAAAAUAUUUUGGGUUGUGGGUUAUUAUUAUUUUUAAAUAAAGCGUGAGUUUCAAAGUUCAAGUUAAAAUUUAAAUUUUGUAGGUUUAUUAUGAAUGUAUAGAGGCUAUUUUAAUAGAUUGAUGAAGGUUAAUUAGAAACCCAAAUGAUUUUUUCUUUUAUUUUUUUUGUCUUUCACAUGCUAAAUCUACCACUCAUACCGAUAAGAAUUGGGAUGCUUUAUUUUUAUCCUAAUGAUCAUAAUAAAAAUCUUAUAAAAUUUUCACUAUUUUAUUAAAAUUAUUAUUUAAAAAUUAUAUUUACCCCAAAAAUCUUUGUGUUAAGUAAUCUACUAAUUAUAAUAACCCAUGACCAAAAAUAUUGGACAUGUCUUCUUUUUUUUUUUUAGUAAUUAUACACUCACAUCACGCUUUUACGAUUAAUUGAGUAAACAUGUAGGAUAAACGAUUUUAUAAUAGAUUGUCUCACAAUUUAAAUUUACCAAAUAUCCUCAGAAAUUAUUUGUAAAGUUGACUACUUCAAAAGUCAAGUUUGAAUAUUAAUUAAUUGUGAGACUAUUCGGAUUGAAUCCAUAAAAUUCUUUUUAAAUUUUCUUUACAACUUAUAACAUACUUUUCAGAAAGUUUAUCGAGUACUAAUUCAGAAAUUUAUUUCAAUAUAUAUUAAGAAAAAUUAUUUGGUUAAGAGAAAUUAGCCCCUUUGAAAAAUUGAGUUCGUGAGGCAUGAGCUCAUCAUUAACCAACCCAUCAAAUUAUUCAAUAAACACAUUUGCCUCACACAUCCAUAAUUAAUUAAAAGGAUGGAAUUAUUUGAACUUAUGAAAUUUCUCAUAACAUCCAUUUAUUUAAUAUAUCCCCUAUCAAGAUCUUAAAAUUAAAUUUUAACUCUAUAAGCCGCUUAAUACCUCACAAAUAACCGAUUUAUGGUGGGUGCAAUAAUUUAGAUCAUUAAAUUAUUUAUUGUUUUUGGUCAUUUUUAUUUAAGAUUAUUUUUGUACUAUAAAGUUUUAUUUAAAAUAGGUCUAAGGUGCAUUUUUAUGGGGGCCCAAAUGACCUUAAAAUUAGAAAAAGUUAAAUUAUACCAUAUAAAAGUAAAACCUCUUGUAAUUCCUAAACUAUCCUUGAUUAGAUUUCUUUUUUUAAUUUUAAUAUUUUCUCUCAUCUCAGAACUCAUAAGCUGCUAUAUCCUUUCUUGGUAAGAUGCUCUGUUCAGGCUUCAAUGUUGUUGGCUUGAAAUGGCAACUGAACUCGAAUCAAUUCUCAUGCAUGGGUUGGGAAAUUUGCUCAACUUAUAAUUGGUAGGUUUAUGCCUUUGAUCAAACUCAUUUCGCCUAUCCAAGAAUCUGCAAAAUUAAUUGGUAUUAUCAUGUCGAUGCUGCUUAUAAUUAGUAGCGCUUGCAUUGCCCUGAAUCCAGGCACUGCUUAAGUAGAGUUGGGCUUGCUGAUUCAUUUUAGUGACAUAUCAAAACAUUAAAAAAAAAAAAAUCAGGACUUGUUUGUCGAAAUUUACAAAUAUUUUGUUCUUUAAUUAAUUUUUAUUAUAUCAAACAAUAGAACUGCAGUGUAGUUAAACCCGUUGCUUACACCUGGGCAACAUAGUUUCGUGUUCUUUUUUUUUUUUAUAGUUUCUGUGAUGGCAAGUUAUAUAUAUGUCUUUUAAUUUUUCAAUUAUUGCGGCAACGAACAUGUUAAAUAAUUUGCGGUGGAAAAGGCACCAAUAUUGACUCAAUAUGUCAAAUUUCUAGAAAAUUUUAACAUCAAAUGCCUUUUUUCCAUUGUUGUAAGUAUAAGUCAAAUUUCUUGCAAAAUUUAUUUGCGUGUGACGAUUUUUUUUUUUUUAAGUGCAGACAGCCCACCCUUCACAUAUUCAUAGAGAUGUAGAAUUUUCAGCUGCAAUUAACAGUUGCUCUACGUUACCGGUGUUCCACAUUUUACAAUAUUAAAUAGAGAAUUUUGAGUCCAGAAGCAAUCACUUUCAGGUCAGCGCCCUCCAAGAUGGAUUAUCAGUCAUGGUGUUUAAUUAUAUUUAUUUAAUUUGUUAGAGAGGGCUCUACGCCUAUAGAGUAUAACAAAUGGAUGUACUUUCGUUUUCGUUCAUCUGUUGUAAGCUACUGUUUUUCUUGUCUGAAUCCUCUUUUGCUUCCGACACCAUUACUUCAUCUCAGUCCCUCAGCGAUGGCAGGACCUUAGUUUCAAAAGAUGGAAGCUUUGAGCUUGGUUUCUUCAGUCCUGGUAGUUCCAAGAAUCGUUACGUGGGAAUUUGGUACAAAAAUAUGCCAGUUAAAACUGUUGUUUGGGUUGCAAACCGAAUCAACCCCAUUAAUGACUCUUCUG
This 6959-nucleotide long non-coding RNA is filed under the name Citrus sinensis (sweet orange). RNAcentral describes it as "long non-coding RNA (CSIN_LNC001688)". Lineage: Eukaryota; Viridiplantae; Streptophyta; Magnoliopsida; Sapindales; Rutaceae. The record is from RNAcentral.